This 548-nucleotide ribosomal RNA is filed under the name uncultured Acidovorax sp. RNAcentral's name for it is "bacterial SSU rRNA". It matches the Rfam family "Bacterial small subunit ribosomal RNA", at positions 331 to 873 of the family's 1533-position model. Lineage: Bacteria; Pseudomonadati; Pseudomonadota; Betaproteobacteria; Burkholderiales; Comamonadaceae. The record is from RNAcentral.
CCAGACUCCUACGGGAGGCAGCAGUGGGGAAUUUUGGACAAUGGGCGAAAGCCUGAUCCAGCCAUGCCGCGUGCAGGAUGCAGGCCUUCGGGUUGUAAACUGCUUUUGUACGGAACGAAAAGACUCUGGUUAAUACCUGGGGUCCAUGACGGUACCGUAAGAAUAAGCACCGGCUAACUACGUGCCAGCAGCCGCGGUAAUACGCAGAGUGCAAGCGUUAAUCGGAAUUACUGGGCGUAAAGCGUGCGCAGGCGGUUAUAUAAGACAGAUGUGAAAUCCCCGGGCUCAACCUGGGAACUGCAUUUGUGACUGUAUAGCUAGAGUACGGCAGAGGGGGAUGGAAUUCCGCGUGUAGCAGUGAAAUGCGUAGAUAUGCGGAGGAACACCGAUGGCGAAGGCAAUCCCCUGGGCCUGUACUGACGCUCAUGCACGAAAGCGUGGGGAGCAAACAGGAUUAGAUACCCUGGUAGUCCACGCCCUAAACGAUGUCAACUGGUUGUUGGGUCUUCACUGACUCAGUAACGAAGCUAACGCGUGAAGUGACCGCC